Molecule: ribosomal RNA, 486 nt
Filed under: uncultured bacterium
Lineage: Bacteria
Description: bacterial SSU rRNA
Rfam family: Bacterial small subunit ribosomal RNA
Source: RNAcentral
AUUGAACGCUGGCGGCAUGCCUUACACAUGCAAGUCGAACGGCAGCACGGGUGCUUGCACCUGGUGGCGAGUGGCGAACGGGUGAGUAAUACAUUGGAACGUACCUUAUUGUGGGGGAUAACGCAGCGAAAGCUGUGCUACUACCGCAUACGCCCUGAGGGGGAAAGCGGGGGAUCGCAAGACCUCGCGCGAUUAGAGCGGCCGAUGCCUGAUUAGCUAGUUGGUGGGGUAAAAGCCCCCCAAGGCGACGAUCAGUAGCUGGUUUGAGAGGACGAUCAGCCACACUGGGACUGAGACCCGGCCCCGACUCCUACGGGAGGCAGCAGUGGGGAAUUUUGGACAAUGGGCGCAAGCCUGAUCCAGCCCUUUCGCGUGGGUGAAGAAGGCCUUCGGGUUGUAAAGCCCUUUUGUCAGGGAGCAAAUCCUGCGUGUGAAUAAUGCGCGGGGAUGAGAGUACCUGAAGAAUAAGCACCGGCUAACUACGUG